CGAGGAAUUUUCCGCAAUGGGCGAAAGCCUGACGGAGCAACGCCGCGUGGGGGAAGAAGGCCUUCGGGUUGUAAACCCCUGUUGCGAGGGAAGAAGAUCUGACGGUACCUCGCGAGGAAGCCACGGCUAACUACGUGCCAGCAGCCGCGGUAAUACGUAGGUGGCAAGCGUUGUCCGGAUUUACUGGGCGUAAAGCGCGCGCAGGCGGACUGGUCAGUCCGGGGUGAAAUCUCACGGCUCAACCGUGAGGGGUCCCCUGGAUACUGCCAGCCUUGAGGGGCUCAGAGGAGAGUGGAAUUCCGGGUGUAGUGGUGGAAUGCGUAGAUAUCCGGAGGAACACCAGUGGCGAAAGCGGCUCUCUGGGGGCAACCUGACGCUGAGGCGCGAAAGCGUGGGGAGCGAACCGGAUUAGAUACCCCUGUAGUCCCUGAGCGGGCUGGCAAGGCGCAU
Molecule: ribosomal RNA, 450 nt
Filed under: uncultured bacterium
Lineage: Bacteria
Description: bacterial SSU rRNA
Rfam family: Bacterial small subunit ribosomal RNA
Source: RNAcentral